AGAGUUUGAUCAUGGCUCAGAUUGAACGCUGGCGGCAGGCCUAACACAUGCAAGUCGAGCGGUAGAGAGAAGCUUGCUUCUCUUGAGAGCGGCGGACGGGUGAGUAAUGCCUAGGAAUCUGCCUGGUAGUGGGGGAUAACGCUCGGAAACGGACGCUAAUACCGCAUACGUCCUACGGGAGAAAGCAGGGGACCUUCGGGCCUUGCGCCAUCAGAUGAGCCUAGGUCGGAUUAGCUAGUUGGUGAGGUAAUGGCUCACCAAGGCGACGAUCCGUAACUGGUCUGAGAGGAUGAUCAGUCACACUGGAACUGAGACACGGUCCAGACUCCUACGGGAGGCAGCAGUGGGGAAUAUUGGACAAUGGGCGAAAGCCUGAUCCAGCCAUGCCGCGUGUGUGAAGAAGGUCUUCGGAUUGUAAAGCACUUUAAGUUGGGAGGAAGGGCAGUAAAUUAAUACUUUGCUGUUUUGACGUUACCGACAGAAUAAGCACCGGCUAACUCUGUGCCAGCAGCCGCGGUAAUACAGAGGGUGCAAGCGUUAAUCGGAAUUACUGGGCGUAAAGCGCGCGUAGGUGGUUCGUUAAGUUGGAUGUGAAAUCCCCGGGCUCAACCUGGGAACUGCAUUCAAAACUGACGAGCUAGAGUAUGGUAGAGGGUGGUGGAAUUUCCUGUAGCGGUGAAAUGCGUAGAUAUAGGAAGGAACACCAGUGGCGAAGGCGACCACCUGGACUGAUACUGACACUGAGGUGCGAAAGCGUGGGGAGCAAACAGGAUUAGAUACCCUAGUAGUCC
RNAcentral lists this ribosomal RNA (791 nucleotides) under uncultured bacterium. RNAcentral's name for it is "bacterial SSU rRNA". It matches the Rfam family "Bacterial small subunit ribosomal RNA", at positions 8 to 796 of the family's 1533-position model. The record is from RNAcentral.